UACAGGGGGUGCAAACGUUGCUCGGAAUCAUUGGGCGUAAAGCGCACGUAGGCGGUCUGUUAUGUCGGAUGUGAAAGCCCUUGGCUUAACUGAGGAAGUGCAUCCGAAACUGGAUGGCUUGAAUCCGGGAGAGGGAUGCAGGAUUCCAGGUGUAGCGGUGAAAUGCGUAGAUAUCUGGAGGAAUACCGGUGGCGAAGGCGGGUAGCUGGGCCGACACUGACGCUGAGGCGCGAAAGCCAGGGGAGCGAACGGG
This 253-nucleotide ribosomal RNA is filed under the name uncultured bacterium. Its description in RNAcentral is "partial 16S ribosomal RNA". It matches the Rfam family "Bacterial small subunit ribosomal RNA", at positions 524 to 776 of the family's 1533-position model. The record is from RNAcentral.